This is a long non-coding RNA of Amphiprion ocellaris (clown anemonefish), 1173 nucleotides long. NCBI's taxonomy places the organism in Eukaryota, Metazoa, Chordata, Actinopteri, Pomacentridae. The record is from Ensembl.
UUUCAGAGAAUGACUAGAGUCCGUUGGUGGUCAGGGGUGGUUCCUGGAUUCAGAAAUAGUGAAAUGGAAAAGGAAGGCCUCAAGAAGUGUGGGGUCAGGACCAGAUGUGAAGAGGAGGAUUGAAGAUAUGGAUUUGAAGAGACUUGAAAACAUAGGUGAAGAGAAAGCCACCCAUAAGGGCACUGAAAGCGCAAGAUUUGGCCGUGUUGUUGCUGACAUGCUGGAAAAGAUCCCAGAUCAUAAAAGGGAAGCAGUAAAAUUUAAACUUUACACGCUGCUUUAUGAGGCUCUCCACCCAAACGUAUCGUAGUUAACGACAAUCAAACAGAUAGAGAAGUUAUUUUUACAUCCUUUUUAAAAAUAUUUUACUUUCUGUCACAGUUUUUGACAAAAAAGAAUGUUACUUGCAUUAAAAAAAAACGGUGUUCAAUUUCAAAUUCAAUGCAGUCCUGUAUUUUCUUUACCCUUCUUCAGCAUACUUUUUCUAAGCACAUUCUCCUGCCAGGGUACAAGUCUCUGUGGUGUGAGAAUGAUUUAAAGUCAUUUUGAGCUGAGAUUGCAGCAUGAGUUGCUUGUGCUUUGCUGACACGGCCAGUGUCCAACAAGUUGUUUACGCCUGCUCCCAUUCCCCGUUUUUUUCAAAAACAUUUGAAAUAUAGUAUAAAAGCCACACGUGUUCUUUCAUGCUGAUUCCGCACGUCUUUCAUGGGGAAAGCAUAAUCCAUGCUUAACUCUAGCAUGUCUAUAGUGCCCCUGGUUUUAGCCAUGUUCCAAACGGGCUGUUCCAGGGUCUGUAGUUUCAAUUCCAGGAGCCAGCUUGGGUUGAUUCUUCUCCUGCAGUGACGUCACAACAGGCUACAGACCUGAAUUACUUGAUUAGAAGAACACUUACUGAUCUGUUGGGAAAAGAAAGACAUGAUGGGAUGGACUUUUCUCAUAUUUUGUGGGUAUCUAGACGCUGCGUAGUUAUGCUCAGCAACAAUGAAAAACUGGAUUUUGCAUGACAAGGCCACUUAAAUGAAAAAAUAUCCCAUUUUUAUUACAAUUGAGUGCUCCUUAUGGACAUUUAAAGUCAUUUGGAGGUAUUUAUUUUUAUCACCAAAAAAGUGUUUACAUCACAACAAGAACAAAUGGCCAUUGUGAAUAUAUGGCAAUAAUGUGUCUUUAAUUCAU